RNAcentral lists this ribosomal RNA (253 nucleotides) under uncultured bacterium. Its description in RNAcentral is "partial 16S ribosomal RNA". It matches the Rfam family "Bacterial small subunit ribosomal RNA", at positions 524 to 776 of the family's 1533-position model. The record is from RNAcentral.
UACGAAGGGGGCUAGCGUUGUUCGGAAUCACUGGGCGUAAAGGGCGCGUAGGCGGCCAUAUAAGUCGGGGGUGAAAGCCUGUGGCUCAACCACAGAAUUGCCUUCGAUACUGUAUGGCUCGAGACCGGAAGAGGUAAGUGGAACUGCGAGUGUAGAGGUGAAAUUCGUAGAUAUUCGCAAGAACACCAGUGGCGAAGGCGGCUUACUGGUCCGGUUCUGACGCUGAGGCGCGAAAGCGUGGGGAGCGAACAGG